CCUACGGGAGGCAGCAGUGGGGAAUAUUGGGCAAUGGGCGCAAGCCUGACCCAGCAACGCCGCGUGAAGGAAGAAGGUUUUCGGGUUGUAAACCUCUUUUCUCAGGGACGAAGCAAGUGACGGUACCUCAGGAAUAAGCCACGGCUAACUACGUGCAAGCAGCCGCGGGAAUACGUAGGGGGCGAGCGUUAUCCGGAUUUACUGGGGGUAAAGGGCGUGUAGGCGGGGACGCAAGGCAGGUGUGAAAACCACGGGCUCAACCUGUGGCCUGCCUUUGAAACUGGGUGUCUUGAGUACGGGAGAGGCAGACGGAAUUCCUAGUGUAGCGGUGAAAUGCGUAGAUAUUGGGAGGAACACCAGUGGCGAAGGCGGUCUGCUGGACAGCAACUGACGCUGAGGCGCGAAAGCGUGGGUAUCAAACAGGAUUAGAUACCCCAGUAGUC
RNAcentral lists this ribosomal RNA (443 nucleotides) under uncultured bacterium. Its description in RNAcentral is "partial 16S ribosomal RNA". It matches the Rfam family "Bacterial small subunit ribosomal RNA", at positions 338 to 795 of the family's 1533-position model. The record is from RNAcentral.